Molecule: transfer RNA, 76 nt
Filed under: Escherichia coli
Lineage: Bacteria; Pseudomonadati; Pseudomonadota; Gammaproteobacteria; Enterobacterales; Enterobacteriaceae
Also listed under: 5 other names
Description: tRNA-Lys
Rfam family: tRNA
About the family: Transfer RNA (tRNA) molecules are approximately 80 nucleotides in length. Their secondary structure includes four short double-helical elements and three loops (D, anti-codon, and T loops).
Source: RNAcentral
GGGUAGUUAGCUCAGUUGGUAGAGCAGUUGACUUUUAAUCAAUUGGUCGCAGGUUCGAAUCCUGCACGACCCACCA